This 456-nucleotide ribosomal RNA is filed under the name uncultured bacterium. Its description in RNAcentral is "bacterial SSU rRNA". It matches the Rfam family "Bacterial small subunit ribosomal RNA", at positions 340 to 786 of the family's 1533-position model. The record is from RNAcentral.
UACGGAAGGCAGCAGUGGGGAAUAUUGCACAAUGGGCGCAAGCCUGAUGCAGCCAUGCCGCGUGUAUGAAGAAGGCCUUCGGGUUGUAAAGUACUUUCAGUCGUGAGGAAGGUGUUAAGGUUAAUAACCUUAGCAAUUGACGUUAGCGACAGAAGAAGCACCGGCUAACUCCGUGCCAGCAGCCGCGGUAAUACGGAGGGUGCGAGCGUUAAUCGGAAUUACUGGGCGUAAAGGGCACGCAGGCGGUUAAUUAAGUUGGAUGUGAAAUCCCCGGGCUUAACCUGGGAAUGGCAUUCAAGACUGGUUAGCUAGAGUCUUGUAGAGGGGGUAGAAUUCCAUGUGUAGCGGUGAAAUGCGUAGAGAUGUGGAGGAAAUACCGGUGGCGAAAGGCGGCCCCUGGGACAAAGACUGACGCUCAUGUGCGAAAGCGUGGGGAGCAAACAGGGAUUAGAUACC